AGAAAUUUCUCUCUCUAAACCUUUGCCUUCACUAUUUCGAUUUUGUGAUUUGCAAAGAUCAAAGAAGAAAAUCAAGCAUGCAAUUUGAUGAGCAGGAAGAAGAAGGGAAGAGGAACACGAGCAUGUACGUGGUUUGGCCUAACAUAAGGCCUACGUCCACGGGAAGGGAUAAUGUUUAUUUUUUGAAGAUUAUACAGAGAUAAGUUUCUUUACAACUUCUUUUUUUUUUUGAGAAAAUGUAAAAGUACAACAUGUAUGUAAAUGUAACUACUAUUUAUAUUUGUAUACAUUUCUAUUAUAAAAACUGUUAAAGAAACUAGCUGUUGGCUUCACUUGAGAUUAAUUUCCUUCAAAUCUCCACCUUAAUCUCAGCUCUGUAAAUCUUCUCCUUUCCGAAUCUGACCUCUGAUUACCCUUUUUAGGUAGAAAAAAGCUGAUAAGGUCAAGGCACGUGUUGAGCUUGAGUUUUGGAACUGGCUUAAUAAGCAAGCCCACGAGGAGGAGAAAGACCAGCACAAUUCGACUUGGUAGAUGAAAUGAAAGGCACACAAUGUGCCACACCUCUUAGCUGGCUGUGCAACAUGUGGGAAAUUCCAUUAACUCAAUUCAAUGGGAGAGUUGAAGCCGACCCAAUCUUUUCGAUGAGAUCAAAGAAGAAAAUCAAGCAUGCAAUUUGAUGAGCAAAAAGAAGAAGAGAAGAGGAACACAAGCAUGUAUGUGAUUCAGCCUAACACAGGGCCUACGUCCAUGGGAAAGGAUGAUAUUUAUUUCUUGAAGAUUAUCCAGAGAUAAGUUUCUUUACAAGCUUUUGUUUGAGAAAAUGUAAAAGUACAACAUAGUAUGUAAAUGUAACUACUAUUUAUAUUUGUAUACAUUUAUGUUUUAAAACUGUU
Long non-coding RNA from Benincasa hispida (wax gourd), 893 nucleotides. RefSeq lists it as uncharacterized. The record is from RefSeq and is a predicted model, not a curated record. Lineage: Eukaryota; Viridiplantae; Streptophyta; Magnoliopsida; Cucurbitales; Cucurbitaceae.